Molecule: non-coding RNA, 103 nt
Organism: Caenorhabditis elegans
Lineage: Eukaryota; Metazoa; Nematoda; Chromadorea; Rhabditida; Rhabditidae
Source: Ensembl
GGCAUUCUUUUCGCAAAUUGCAACACUUAGAUUCCGCCGGAAAAUAGCGUGUAUAACGAGAGACACAGGGAAAAGACCCGUUCAAAAACUGGCGGUAUGCGGG